Molecule: long non-coding RNA, 2178 nt
Filed under: Anas platyrhynchos platyrhynchos (common mallard)
Lineage: Eukaryota; Metazoa; Chordata; Aves; Anseriformes; Anatidae
Description: lncRNA (ENSAPLG00000021161.1)
Source: RNAcentral
CGCAAGUUCCCCAAAGACAUCGAGGGGAAGGGGGGGGGGGGGGGAAGGGGGGGGGGGGGGGGGGAUGGAUGUGUCAGCGGCACGCUGCGCCCAGAUGUGCUCCAGCUCCCGCUGCCGGGCCCCAAGCCCUGGGCUCCCCGCAGGGUGCCCCGGAGCAAAGCCACAUCCCCGGGGGGGGCGGACACGGAGGGCACGGCGCGGGGGGGCCUCCCCCUCACCCCCAACCCCGGACACGUGUGGGCGCCCCCCCGGCGCUCCUCUCUCUCCCGGCAGCUGCUCGGCAGAUGGGCUCGCAGCAGCCACAGCCCCGGGCCCCUCCGCGGGGCUGCCGGCACGGCCGGCCCCCAGCUCCCCCCUCCCCGACGGCUUGGCCUGGAGCCGAGCUCCCGGGGCGGGGGCCGUCCCCGCUGGGCCGCGGGGGUGAGACGCGAGGCCGGCCAGGAUAAACAAGAGGCCCCAGCGCCGGCAGCGCGGUGGCUCGGCCGGCGCACACCGCAGAGCGCUGCAAUAACAGCCCGGGGGCCGCCGCCGUCAAAGGGCCCUUCUUCUGCACGGCGCCCGUCGAGGCUGGAAGGGGUGGGAGAGGGGGGGGGGGGGGGGACGGGGGGGGCCGCCUGCGGGCCCGGGGGGGCCGGGGCCGGGCCCUGCCCGGCCCUUCCCGGGCCCCCCCCCGCCCCCCGCCCCGAGGCGCGCAGAGGGCGCACGGCGCGCCCCGGACGCCCCCUCGGGGCUGCGGCCGCGCACGUGGACGGAGCGCGCGCGCGCGCCGCUGGCCCCGCCCCCUUCCCCCGAAACCACCCCCCCCGCGCCCAUCUCCCGCCCCCCCCCCCCACUCUGUCCCCGCCCCCCCCGAGGCUCUCCGCCAAUGGGAGGCGCCCCCGCGCUCGGCUCCGCCAAUCAGAUGGCGAGGACGGCGUCCCCCGUCCCCAUGGAGACCGAGGGGGGGAGCGCGGGAGAGGAGCCCCCGGGCCCGGCCAUGGAGCGCGGAGCGCGGCGGGGGACGGAGACCCCCAGAGGGUGGGCACCGGGGGGCACCGGGGGGUGCACCGGGGGGGCACUGGGGAGGGGGCCCAGGGGUGCUGGGGAGGCACCAGGGGGGUGUUUUGGGGGGUUCCCGGCGGGGUGCUGGUGACCCCGCCUGGUGCUGGGGUCACCCAAAGGGCAGGGGUCACCAGGGGGGCACUGGGGGUCGUGACCCCGCUGUCUGUCCCCGCACGCAGGGUGGCUCUGACCGGCUGUGUGCCCCCAAAGCAUGGGGGGGACCCCCGGGAUGAGCCCCCCCCGUGCACCGUGAGGAUGCGGGGGGACGUGCUGCUGCCCGUGGGGGGCUCGUGCCGGGGGGACGCGGCUGGGGAGCCCCCCGGGGUGGUGGUGGUGGACGGCGGUGAGGAGCCGGGCGCAGACGAGGAGCAGCAGGAGGAGCAGGAGGCCGCAGCCGAGGAGGUCCCAAAGGUGCUGGCUGUGGCCACGGAGCCCCCCCGAGGUGCCGGCCCCGAUGGCCGUGCAGGUCGUGCCCCGCGGGAGCUGCUUGAUCCACAACUGGCAGGAGGAGAGAGCCACCAACGACCUGGACCAGGUGCCGGUGCCGGAGAUGGGCAGCGAGGGCUUCGUCCACCGGCACGGCCACCGCGGGCUGCUGACCCUCCAGCCACCAGCCCAGCCGCCCCCCAGCAGCACCACCAAGCAGGCCUUUCGCCCGCCCCACAGCGUCCCGAUGCUGGCGAGAGGGCAGCGGGAGGCCAUGCUGGAGCUGAUGCUCUACCAGAAGUACAGGCAGGAGCUGCUGGAGGAGAUGUCCCCACCCCGUGCGCCCAUGGAGAGCCUCUCCACCACGCACCGGGAUUUCCAGGCAGGGGGCUUCCAGCCCACGCCGCCGCCCACCACCCAGCCCCACGACUACCGCACGGAGCAGCCCUGCAGCUUCUGGCUGGAGCAAGCCCGCAGCGUGCCCGGCGUCACCUGCAUCCGCACCGGGGACAGCCCCUUUCGGAGGAACGCUGCCUUCUCCACCCCCAUCACCGAGUACCUGGAGCAGCCCCUGCCCCACGUCGCCGAAAGCUACGGGGUGCGGCCGAGCAAGCAAUAAAGAGCAGGCGGUGUCCCUGCCCUGGCACCCAAGGGUGUCCCUGCGACCCUGCGCACCUUGGCUGUCCCCUGUGGGGCAGGGGACCCCGAUAA